UUUUUCGCAGAAGGAACAAUUUAGAGGAAACUGCGAGAGACAAUCGAAACCUUGUCCGUGUGUAAUAAUGGGAAAAAAGUUUCUCAGGCAUUCCUAACAGCAAGCAGAUCAACCCACGCAGCAUAGAAACGACAAGACAAGACGACGACUGCUGUAGGAUCGUUCGAUGCAACCACGUUCGCACUUCUCGCUCAUUCUCAGGUAAUCAGGGUCUAUCGAGCAAAUUAAGGCAGCAGCACAGCAGCAGCACGCAAUGUGGUCAGGCGGUAACGGAGCCAGAUCCGUGGCGCGCAGCUGUGCGCAAUCAUGCACUAUCUCGACGUCGCC
Molecule: long non-coding RNA, 327 nt
Organism: Priapulus caudatus
Lineage: Eukaryota; Metazoa; Priapulida; Priapulimorpha; Priapulimorphida; Priapulidae
Exons: 3
Source: RefSeq, a predicted model, not a curated record